GGCAGAGCUCAUUUGUGAGGGAAAUUGGAUUGGGAAUUGACCUAGCCUGCUGGGAGGAUGUUCAGCUUAGGUGCUCAGCCUCUAUAGUGCUGGGGCUGGGCAGGAGCACAGAAGAAAGAUCCAGCCAACUCUCCUUUCCAAUGAAACAGCAAGGAUGAAUUUGGGUGUCCAAGGAGUGCUGACCUGAAGCCACUCCUGCUGAGCCCUUCUUAUGCAGCUGUUCCAGUGUACCUCAAGGAAUGCCAAUGCCAUUUUGUGCUAUUGCAGCUGUAAGCCACCUUGCAUGUAAGGCAGUGAGAGUCAAUUCUCCAGACCACUUCUGAGCAAAACACUAUGCAGAAAGAGUUGAAUAUACAACUAAAAGCUACCCAGCUCCUUUCACAUGUUGCCUUGUCAAGGUUGAAAACCAAGUCUAAAGAAGGCCAUUCAUCUUGUUAGGAGAGCCCUGAAAGAGAUUGGAUUAAAACCAGAAGAACUUUCCCCCCUGCCCCCUCCCUUUUUUUUUUUUAAACCAGACUAUUUUGUGGUGGUGUUCAUAUACUGUCUGAACUCCUGAGUCCUUAGGGUCAACUUGAGUCUCAUUUUCAAGCUUUCCUAUUUAAGCACAGGGGAUUAAAAUGGAAGUUGAGAUUCUCGUGGGCAUCCAGGAUAUGAGGCCUUAAAACAAACAAACAAAACUAGAAUGAAUAGGCCUCUAAAUAAAAUUGCAAGAUUGUAUUUGGUGAUACUUCCCCUUUCCCCCUCCUGCCCACCCCACACACAUUGUUAAUGAAUAUCUCGCUGCUAUCUGAUUGUUUUGCUUCCCCCUCACAUUUUAUAUUGCUCUGCUCUGUCAAAUCAGAACUCGGUCAUCUCAUUUAUUGGACAUCCUGCUUUACAAAAUCUCUGCCAGAUCAAGAAUCCUACAAACAAGCAGGAGCUGGUCCUGUCAUAAAUGUCGACAGUCAUCCAGAAGGGACACACUAAAAGCAAGGAACCAUGGCUCCCAAGACAACACUUAACCAAUCGUUUAUCUAUGGUUCAUCUACUUGCCAUUCUUGCAAGUGACCGUGGGGUGUCAGUAGUGUUCCUCACAAAGGUUUCAAAAGAAGCUGCUCGGGGAACUAGCGAACCUCUGGAAAAUGCUAAAGAAAGCUGAUGUUAGGAGCCGAGCUACGGUGCCCGGAGGUGACUUUCUGUACCCCUGAAUUUUGCUGACAGCCUGUCAGGAGCCCAUCUGUAUGCAUUUAACUUGUUCAUACAGUUUAUUAACUUGUCCGUGUAGUUUGACCCACAAAUGUCAAAAUAUUUGCUGGGACUUGUAUUUUCAUGGGCUAUAAAUUGCUUGUGAUUGCAUGCUGUAGCAAUAAAAACCCUGUUAUAUAUGUACAUUAUCCUCAUCUUAUGAAACACCAGCCUCUCACAAUUAAGUACCUGUGCAUCAAGAUGUUUCCUUAACUUUAUCUAAGCCUGCUAAUGUCCCACUCAGCACAGCUGCAAAAUGUUAACCUUCUCAGGUUUUCAGACCUCAUCUUCUGCCAGGUCCCACCUGUGUGUUGGGUUUUUUUUAAAGACAAUUGUACCAGAAGUGAGUGAUGUGCAGCCUAUGCAAAAAAAAUGCUGGAAACCCAGCAGCAGCCAGCACUGACUGAAGCAGUUAGACAUUUAGAGAAGUGCAGAGUUGAAAGGGGACCUCGAGGCACCUAGUCUGA
Molecule: long non-coding RNA, 1691 nt
Organism: Alligator sinensis (Chinese alligator)
Lineage: Eukaryota; Metazoa; Chordata; Crocodylia; Alligatoridae
Exons: 3
Source: RefSeq, a predicted model, not a curated record